GUUCAAUAUAAAACUGCAAUUUAUAAUUAAAACUCUAAAAACAAUCUUACUUAACAAAUCAUAUUAGAAAUCCUUAGGUUUCCUAGCUCCCUGUGAAUUUGAUCCCUAAGUAAUACAACUCGACCUCUUUUUUGAGAGAGUAUAAAUCCCUAAGUUUCUUACAUAAUUUUUUUUUCUUGGAUUUUCAGGUACAUGCCCAGCAGUACCAGAAGCGACAAGAAAACUCAACUGCUAUUCUCACCAGAUCCUGCAAGUUUGGAACGUUCAACCCGCAAGGAAGCGCGCUCCUUAUCGACCGACAACAACACUUCUGUGUCGCUCGAUUCUGGUCAACCACCGUCGAUCCAGACACCAGUCCCGUCGACCGAUUCUCGCUCACCCCUGUCGACCGACAACACAAACCUUCCGUCGACCGACAUCAUCCACCCGACAUCGAUCGACUUUCCAUCUCGGACAUCGAUCGAUACUGAGCCGCGAGACAUGGUUGCGCCUUUGAUACUUGUUUGGGACAACAAUGGAGACCUCCAUGACCAGGAGGGUCAUCUGCGUAAUGCAUCAGAUCAGAGGAUAAAUGCUCAGGGGGAUGCAAUCCCUGAGCCUGAUGCUACUGCUACAGGUACUAUCUUACCUAUAGAUGAAGCUGCGCAACCCAAAACGUUGGCUGAUUAUGACUUUCCAGAUCGAUAUUACACAAACAGAUCAGCCAUCCUUCCUCCCACCAUUGAGAUGGAUUUUGAGUUGAAAGCGCAGUACUACACACUUGUGGGACAGCUACCCUACCAUGGAUUAUCCCACUUGCAUCCUAUGGAUCACCUGGAGAGGUUCGAGGAUCUGAUUUCUGCUAUUAGAGUCGAGGGAGUCUCUAAGGACUACUUGUUAUGCAAGCUCUUCAGGUACUCACUUGCUGGAGAAGCUCUGCAUUGGCUCAAGCAGUUACAACCAAGAUCUCUUAAAUCCUAGAGCGACAUCAAGAAUGCAUUCUUAUGCAAUUUCUUUGAUGAAGCGCGUGCUGAAGACUUGAGGAGCAAGAUUGCUACAUUCACUCGGGAGCCUGCAUAAUCAUUCAGAGGUUUUUGGAUCAGAUUCAAGUCUUACUAGAGAGACUGUCCAAACCAUGGAUUCAAUGAAGUACAACUGCUCAGUACUUUCUACAGAGGCAUCGCGGUGCAGUACCAGAUGGCUCUUGAUGCUUCCAGCAAUGGAAACUUCAACACCAGGACAUAUUCAGAUGAUGGAGAGGAUCCUAUGGAAGAGGAUAGGGUUUCUACUGGAAGAACCCUAAGGAGAAGAAAGGAAAAAGUGGCGAAACAUUUGAAGAGGGGGGCUAAUGAUAAGGAAAAGGAAAAUUUCCGCAAGAGAGUCUUCUUGAUUCCUAUAGAUAAGCCAUUCAAGGAUGCUUAUUACACCCACAGAUUGUGGAUGUUCUUCAGAGAAACCAGAGAUAAAGAAGAAGACAUCAGGAGAAUGUUCUGUGAAGCUUGAGAAAAGAUGAGAAUGAGGAUUACAUUGAAGAAGAAGAAGAGUGAUCAUGGGCAAUUUGCAAUACCAUGCACGGUGAAGGGUAUUGAAUUCCCACAUGUCUUUUGCGACACAGGAGCUUCAGUCAGCAUCAUACCUAGGGUUAUGGCAGACCAUCUGGGUCUCCAGGUGGAGCCUUCACAGGAAUUAUUCACUUUUGUGGAUUGUUCGCAGAAGAACUCAGGAGGAAUUGUGAGAGACCUAGAGUUGCAGAUUGGUAAUGUCCUAGUUCUAGUUGAUUUCCUUGUCAAUAGUGGGAGCAGUGUGCAACUUGCAAACUAACCAGUUGUGUCUAACACUCAUUGAUCCUAAUGCCCACUACGACCCUAUCCCAGUCAAGAAACCACAAACAAUCCCUAGAAGAAUCAAUGAUCCAGGAAUCAUUGCAGCUUGCCACUGUGGAGCCGAGUACGAAUCUGACUACUCGAAAUCAAUCGACACUCAUCCAAAAACAUCGAUCGACACAAGCCAUCCUAAAUCGAACGACAAAGUAGAAGAAAUCGAUCGACACUUGUCCAUAUGAGUGGGAGGACGACUACUACAACCCCACUAUUGACGCUUACACUAAACAAAAUAUUCAUACAGACGAGUAUGAUGAAGACUAUGGGAUUUCACGGCCCUUACUUCCGCCGCAGUUUUUGUGAUGUAAUCGCGAAGAUCGCGGAUGUCCAACGUCUCGCCAGCAUAUUUCCAAGCUUGUCGGCGUUUACUGCGAGUGAUCUUGGUUUGCUUUUCAGCAAGCUCUUCUUGUUUGUUCCAAUAGAGGAUUUCCUCCUCUUUCGUCAUUGGCUUAUCGAACGGAGAGCUUUCCCGAGCAGAUCGGCUUCUGGUCCUUCUUGGAUGUUUGUCGGCGUCCUCCUCGGUAUCGUUGGAGACGUCGCUGGGAUCCAAGUCGACGUGCUCGAUUUCAUUAGCCUCCGAGUUCUUCGCGGGAGGUGGAGGACUCUCAGAGUUCCUUUUAUCGGGAGGGGAUUUUUCGCUAGGGUUUUGGCCCGAAGGUCGUUCCCGCGACGUUCCAGGCCUGUUGAGGGGGUUGCGAAGUCGAGUUUUUUCCCAUGAACUUUAGUGGUUACGCGGGGGCGUAUUGCUCGAGUCCUUGCCGUUAAGGUUUCGACUUGUUUGGUCAAGGUGCUUAUAACCUUAUCCUGUUCUUCCGACCUUUUUUCAUAGGUGGCGAACAUCUUUUUAAACUCCUCGAGCGCUGCGGCAUUGGCUGCUGCGUUGGCCGCGGAUACGUCCGCUGCUGAAGUGUGAAGAUCAGUUCCGCUGCCUCCGCUGAGAGGAGUUUGCAUGUUGUCCGCGUCGUUAGUUGACAUGUCUAGUUGAGCGUGAUGUGGUUGAGAGUUAGAUUAAUCCAUACCCCCCCCCCUCCUUCAAGCUCCAAACUGUGAGAACCGAAAUUCGCACUAUCGAUUUCCAUUUAAAUUAGGAAAGUAGGAGAGCCCGUGUAAUAACCUUCUUUAAAGAGUAAAACGCAGGUAAGGAAAAAUCUUGUAACAGCCGAGAAAAUUACUCAAGUAAGUGGAAGUCGGAUUGAUCUUUUCCCGUGGAUGUUGUGGAUCCCAAGGUACAUAAGAAAAAUUUAGAAAGUCUUAGAUUAAUAGUUUUCCAUCUGAAGAAAUAAAUUCUUCAGGAAGUUUAGUGGAUUGAAUAUGCUCGCGGUUCGGCCUAGAACGUCCUAGUCGGACGAGAAAAUUAAUCGAAAAUUUAUUAUAAGGCCUUAAGAUAGAAAUGACCUUAGAGUUAUUUUAGAAAUGUUUUGGUCUAAUAAAUCUAGGUUUUUGUCAAGGAGAAACAUUUCCGCCAGCUCGGAUAAGCUUAUAACACGUUCGGGAUUUAAAUAUGGCCUAUUCAGGCCCAUCUACGAUGUGUUAAGCAUAUCCGGAAGCUUCUGGAGGAUGCAGCUGCUUGUCUACCUCCUUAAGCAGCUAGACAUGUGUUACUCCUUUACUGGAGAAUCCUCCAAGCAGCUCUUGCUUAUGUCCUAUUGGUUGAAUUGGUGGCUGGGCACAAAACUUGUUUUAACUGGACAGAUUUGUGGCUGCACACCAAUCUCUCUCCAAUUGGUUGCAUGGGGCACCCAGGACACCUCCUGCUUGCUAUGCACGACCAAAACCCUCCCAUGAGCUCAUUCUCCAGCCUAUAAAUAACAGACCACCCCCCCCCCCUUAGUUAUUUCUCAUGCUUAGUACCCUAACGAUAGCAGCUCAAAAAAGUCGAAACCCUAAGAUUUCUAAAGCUCUAGAGUUUUCUGAUAAAAGUUUAAAGUGAAGCCGGCCGCGAGAUAGAAGCGUUUCCAGUCCAAAACUUUCAUCUAAGUGUUGAGGUGAGUCUCGGUUAUGGGUUAUGAUUGUUGUGUGUGCGAUUAGCGCCUGCAAAACAAGAGUAUUGGUUGAUGCAUUGCUAGGUUGCGCGUUGAGAUAUAUAAUGAUAUGAUAAUGAUUGAUGUUUGUGAAAGAUAUUGAGUUAUAUCGUCGGGCUUCGGCUCGAGGGGUAUAACAUGAUUGUGAUACAUUGAUGUUGUGUUGCAUAUACUUAUGUCAUUGCAUUAUAUUGUUUGGGCCUCGGCUCAGAUAAUAUAACAUGUUUGAUCAUAUCUUAACGGGGAAACCCGUAAAUCCACGGACUUGAUCCGUGAGAGUCCGACACUCGGGUGGAGUGUUGUGAGAGUCAUUGGUAUCCACUCGAGGCCCGUGCCUUGUCCGGGGCCUUACCAAAAUUAGUUCCGGACAGGACGCGAAGACACGUGUGAUAGGGUUAGCUACCCUCGACCGUGUAGCUGCAUGACGAUGCGGCAAGUGUGUUAUCCGGGCCAUCGGCUUUUUAGACUUUGUGUUUAGGGUCAAUGGGCGCAAAAAGGGAUGUGUUAUGGACUUCGUAUCGAGAUAGGAACCAAUGGCGAGAGGCAGUCCUCGAUGAUCGAUAAUGAUCUAACCACUCGUGAAGAGUGGAUGCUUGUUUACAUGAUUGCUUUAUUUUUGCAUUGCAUAUUUCUUAAUAUAAUUGAUCCUUGUUGCUUAAUGUUUGAUGCAUAAUGGGGGGAUAAAUAAUUGUUAGGAAACCCGACUCACUGAGCAAAAUAGUUGCUCAUUAGACUCUUUGUUUUGCAGGUAACCCGUAGUAGUAGGUUCCAUUUGGGAUCAGAGGAGCACAAAGCUGUUGGUGUAGAUUUGCUACCUUUUGCAAACAUGUAAGUUUUGUAAUAUGUAAGAUAUGGUUUUGAACUUCGGCCGAGCAUGUAUAAAGUUUUGAUGUGGUUGAAUUUAAAGUAUAUGAAUAAGAAAAGGUUUGUGAAAUGCUUGGAUUCCAUAUGAUACUAGACCUAGUCCGGGACGAACUAACUAACUGUUUCAAACUCGGGUUGCAAAGCCUUAACUUGGAAUCGCUAGGAAACCUGUUCUUGGACAUAUGAUCUUAGGAUUUCGGAUCUGAUCUGGGAACCUCGGAUCAAAUGUUCGGGCACGUGAUAGUAGUAUCUUCGAUCUAGUUAGAGUUCUUUAGUUCAUCGUGCAUGUUCUUGUUUGAUUGGUGCAUGGCAAACUAAUUAACUUUUAUUUAUUCCGGAUCAGGGGUGUUACAGCCCUAGUUUCCCAAAUGUCCCAGAUAUCUGCUAAUACCACACGCCAAGCAAUCAGAAGACGAAACGAGAACAGUAAUAAAAUAAGAAAUCGAAAAAGAGAGCAAGAUAGUUCUUAUUCCGAAUCUGCGUUUGAGCGUUUACAACAGAGUAAGUGCAUGGGCUACAAGAGCUGUCGGCGAGAUUCCUAGUUCUAAAAAACACCUAAGACGGCAAAAACCUAAUUGAGUCGCAGCUCGAAUAGCAAAAUUAGAAAGUUGCCUAAAAUCGCUCUAAGUGCUAAGUUUUCUGCGUCAAAGUUCUCUCCCCAUGUCUCGCGCCUAGGACUCCUUAUAUACUCCCUCUAGGUCGGUUUACGCUUUUCCCCUUCUGCCCUUAAGCCGUCAUAGCCAAAAAUGGAGAUAUUCCAUUUUUACCGAUCUCCGUAAUUAUCUUCGAAAACUUCGUAUUUAUCCACGGAAACUUGACAUUUAUCUUUCCUUGUGAACCAAGCGUAAACCGUCCUACGGUUUACGGGCUUUUGGUUAAUAAAUCGUAAAGUGGGCUUCGAGUCAUGUCUUAGGUCCCUUUGGCCGUCUUUUGGCUCGAAGCGUUUAUUACGGUUUCCUUCGAUAAAAACAAACUUUCUGCGGUUUUUAUCGUAAACUUUGAUUGAUGACUUCAAAUGUCGAGAAACAUGAAAUGGGUUUGCUACGGUCUUCGAGAGAUUGCAUCAAAGAGUAGACGAGAAUGCAUAGAAUCGUGUCAUAUUCGACGUUUCGGAAAAGCUCGGUCGCUACAUAGCAGCUGAACGGCACGCACGCUUGGUCGCUACGUAGCGACAGAGCUUGGCUCGAGCUUGGUCGCUAUGUAGCGACCGAGCGGGAGGUGCGCUCAGUCGCUACGUAGCGACCAGGCAGUGUGCAUGUUCGGUCGUUGCGUAGUGACUGAGCUUGGCUUGUCCGCGUUCCGAUCAUGACACUCGAACCUAUCCGUGGCUGGUUUAGAUAUGUUUCCGUUACCUUGGGACAGCUUGUGUUUGAUCCACCGAGACAUGAACAAGGUUUUAUCUCGAGAUCAUGUGUCGUGACAUUCUUUUUACCAAGCAUAAUUGUCGCAGAAAGACACUCACACUUGUUUUUUGUUGAGGUUUGGAUAUUAACAUCGUCGUAACCGUUUUCCACCCCAACACUCUAUCCUAUUUUUAAUAUCUUAUUUAAGUAUUAUUCAGACCAUCAUAACUAUGUGUUUCAUGAAUAUGUCUGAGUAGUCUUUGUUGUUAGGUUUAGGUUUCUCAAUAGGUUGGUAAAUGUAAUACUGACACAAACAAUUGUUAGGGUGUUUAGAAAUAUAGUUCUUCAUCUAGUUGUUCUUAAAGCUAAGUAUAGGAUUAAUUACCUUUUAAACUUAGAUCUGAGGAUUAAUUGAGAUCAAGCCAUUGCGUGACUCAAUACCUGAAAUUAGCUAGUAUGAUCUAACUGACUAGAUACAGACGAGAGUUGGUCUAGUGAGUUAGAGAAUAUAAAUCAAACCUGUCCAUAAAACUUUCUGGAAGAAGUCUCGAUCGACGCAGCGAUAGCCCUGUCAAUCGAUAUUUUGAAAGGUGUAUCAAUCGAUAUUCAUAACGAAUUAUCGAUCGAUACUUUCUCGUGAUUAACAUAUGAGAGUUGAAAUCCGAGAUCCAGAUUAGACAAUCAAAUAGAUUAUAUCUUAGUUUGAAUUCAAGAAAAAUUAAUAUCAAUAAACCCCUAAAGACCCAACUUAAGUAUUACUUAUCAUACCUGAGAACAUACCUGAAUCUAGCUAUUCUCCCAACUGUUAACAACCUAAAAUCAAAUCAAUCGAGCAAUUAUUUUGCUCACCAAUUCAUUACUGCUUUAAAACAAAUAAUUCAUUUAAUCUGGCCUUAAUUCGAAUACUAUAAAUCUAUUGUGUAAUCCUAGAGUCUCUGUGGAUUCGAUUCCUAAGUACUACAUCUGAACCUUUUAUUUGAGAGAGUCAUUCACUCCUUAGGGUAAUUUGAGUGAUAUCAAAUUUGGCGCCGUUGCCAGGGAUUCUUUCUUAUUACCAUUAGAUUAAGUUUUGAAUUUAGUCUAGAUUUUGUUACUGAAUCUGCUUAAGUUUUUCCUCUUUCUCUGCUGACACAUGUACUUAAGAUGGAAGACAUGAAUUUCUGCUCGAAAUCGACCGACACUCAGACAACAACAUCGAGCGACGGGUCGACAAAAAAAUU
This is a long non-coding RNA of Brassica rapa (field mustard), 7307 nucleotides long. RefSeq lists it as uncharacterized. NCBI's taxonomy places the organism in Eukaryota, Viridiplantae, Streptophyta, Magnoliopsida, Brassicales, Brassicaceae. The record is from RefSeq and is a predicted model, not a curated record.